This 497-nucleotide ribosomal RNA is filed under the name uncultured bacterium. RNAcentral describes it as "partial 16S ribosomal RNA". It matches the Rfam family "Bacterial small subunit ribosomal RNA", at positions 28 to 507 of the family's 1533-position model. The record is from RNAcentral.
GAUGAACGCUGGCGGCGUGCCUAAUACAUGCAAGUCGAGCGAACGGACGAGAAGCUUGCUUUUCUGAUGUUAGCGGCGGACGGGUGAGUAACACGUGGAUAACCUACCUAUAAGACUGGGAUAACUUCGGGAAACCGGAGCUAAUACCGGAUAAUAUUUUGAACCGCAUGGUUCAAAAGUGAAAGACGGUCUUGCUGUCACUUAUAGAUGGAUCCGCGCUGCAUUAGCUAGUUGGUAAGGUAACGGCUUACCAAGGCAACGAUGCAUAGCCGACCUGAGAGGGGGAGCGGCCCACUGGGGAAUGGGAACAGGCCCAAGCCACCGGGGGGGGCGAGGAGGGGAGAUUUUCGAGAAAGGGGGAAAGCCAGGAGGGAGAAACCGCGGGGGAGAAAAGAGGGUUUGGGAACUAAAAAACCCGGUUAUGGGGAAAAAAAAGAUGUAAAAGAACCGGUACAAACUUGGGGGUAACUAAUAGAAAAACCAGGGGAAAAUUCGUG